RNAcentral lists this ribosomal RNA (462 nucleotides) under uncultured bacterium. RNAcentral describes it as "partial 16S ribosomal RNA". It matches the Rfam family "Bacterial small subunit ribosomal RNA", at positions 28 to 507 of the family's 1533-position model. The record is from RNAcentral.
GACGAACGCUGGCGGCGUGCUUAACACAUGCAAGUCGAGCGGUAAGGCCUUUCGGGGUACACGAGCGGCGAACGGGUGAGUAACACGUGGGUGAUCUGCCCUGCACUUCGGGAUAAGCCUGGGAAACUGGGUCUAAUACCGGAUAUGACCUCCUAUCGCAUGGUGGGUGGUGGAAAGAUUUAUCGGUGCAGGAUGGGCCCGCGGCCUAUCAGCUUGUUGGUGGGGUAAUGGCCUACCAAGGCGACGACGGGUAGCCGACCUGAGAGGGUGACCGGCCACACCGGGACUGAGACACGGCCCAGACUCCUACGGGAGGCAGCAGUGGGGAAUAUUGCACAAUGGGCGAAAGCCUGAUGCAGCGACGCCGCGUGAGGGAUGACGGCCUUCGGGUUGUAAACCUCUUUCAGCAGGGACGAAGCGCAAGUGACGGUACCUGCAGAAGAAGCACCGGCUAACUACGUG